GAUGAACGCUAGCGGCAGGCUUAACACAUGCAAGUCGAGGGGUAACAGGGUGCUUGCACCGCUGACGACCGGCGCACGGGUGCGUAACGCGUAUACAAUCUACCUUUUACAGAGAGAUACCCCAGAGAAAUUUGGAAUAAUACCUCAUAAUAUUAUUGCUCGGCAUCGAGUGACAAUUAAAGUUUCGGCGGUAAAAGAGGAGUAUGCGUCCUAUUAGCUAGUUGGUAAGGUAACGGCUUACCAAGGCGACGAUAGGUAGGGGUCCUGAGAGGGAGAUCCCCCCCACUGGUACUGAGACACGGACCAGACUCCUACGGGAGGCAGCAGUGAGGAAUAUUGGUCAAUGGGGGAAAGCCU
Molecule: ribosomal RNA, 357 nt
Filed under: uncultured bacterium
Lineage: Bacteria
Description: bacterial SSU rRNA
Rfam family: Bacterial small subunit ribosomal RNA
Source: RNAcentral